AUAACUUUCCAUAGAAACAUUUCUAUGCUGUAGGUAAACGAAAAUCCUGUUUCUUUUCAAAGUUUGCUGAUAAAGGCCUUCGUUCCAUCCCGAGUUUGACGAGACCUCUUUCAACAAUAUCAAAGAACGUAUUCAAAGAUGCAGACUUGAGUCAUCUUAGAAUCCGGCUUACAAAAUAUACUAAGGUUUUCCUUUCCCAUUACUUUAUCCCUGUUUUCUGUAAGCAUCCUGAGUGGAAUCUUGUGUUGUUAUCCUAUUCAAUUUUUGAUUGUGUGGUUCAUUGUAUUCAGAUUUUAUAUACACUUGUUAAUUGAUGUAUAGUUAGUGGUCUAUCUUGUACUUACCUGGGGGCCCUCUGAUGGCACUCCUUAUAUGGAACAGAUAUCAUAUAUGUGGUAGUGAGAUGGGUGACAAAUAAACACGACAUUUGUGGUUUUAUGCAGCGGUUAUUAGACCAGUUGUACUUUAUGGAACUGACUGUUGUGCAACUAAAAGAUAAUUUUCACGAGUAUUAGAGUCUGUUUCCGGAUAAUUAGUUUAUUACCUUGUAUAGGCUAGCUAUCACACAAAAUCGGGAUUAAUUCCCAUUGUAUAUUUUCCUUAUAUAGCUUUGUACCAUCCUAUAAAUUAAAAGGCAAUACACAAUAGAGAGGAUUCAGCAAAAUCUGUCAAUGAGAUGAAUGAAAUACAAAUGAUGAUGUGAGAAGGAUGUGUGGCUAUAUUAGAAUAAAUAAAAAAAGAAAUAAUGGUAUGGUCCAACAAAGGAGGUAGGGCUAAUUGAAAACAAAGUAAAUAAGUAAUGGAAUAACGACUUAGAUGGUUGGGCAUGUUUAUGUUUAGUAUAAGCCUAAAUAAGUCUUCAUUUACAAAAGUAAUUCAGUUUGUGUAGAAUGUGCUAGAAGAGGGAGCCAUAGACCAAAAUUAACUCGGACUAAUAUGAAAGAUUUGAUAUCAUUGAGCCUUAGACCAAAAUUAACUUGAACUAAUAUGAAAGAUUUGAUUUUAUUAGACCUCUUAUAAGAUGCAUUGCUGGAUCAAAUAGUGACAAAAUGAUUCGCGUAUUGACACAAGGUAGUUGGAAAUAAGACCUCUUCUAGCUUCCUGAUGUCCUUUUACUCAUUUCUCUUCUGUAAGCUGCCUUUAUACAAUUCUGGGGACCUUAAUGUUGAUCUCUUCUCGUUGGUGUCUUGGAGAUACUAUGGAGUAAGCUUAUCAAGACCUGUUUUGCAACCGGCUUUAGGAAUAUGCUCAUGCAAGAUUCUUUCUCCCAAAUCAGUGGCAUUUGAAAGCCAAAGGGUUGAUAGAUUCUUGUGGAGUUUUAAAGAGUGGUGUUCAUGUCAUUUAUUUCUUGGAGAUGCUUUUUUCAGGAACGGGUGAUUGAUUUUUGACCUUUCUGAAUUAGAAUAGUUUCCUGAAAUGUUUGCUCUCAUAACAUGAUCUCCCUGUGAUAUGGUUUGGUUAGUGGAUCUUAAUCUUACUAGUCCGUGUUGUCAAUUGUGAGGAACGUAUUCACCAUGGGACAUUCAUGAAUACUUCAAUCUCCUAGUGAUAUUGUUUGAUGGCUGACUCCAAAUGCAUGCAGUGAAGUUAGGCUAGUAUUUUAGUUUCUCACAAAUUUCCUCAAGGUCCACCGUGGAAUUUGUAAUGCACAUGCUUUAUGUUUUACAGGUCAUUUUAGUCCAUGAAGCACAAGGUUAUAUAGCUUAGGUGGUUUGGUCUGCUUAAAACGGGAUUUUAGCCUUGGGAGACAUCAAUUGAACAUGAAUUCUAUCUACUUCCAGUUAUGUUUGUUGUGUUUAAUGCGCUUUUUUGGGGGGGGCGGGGGGGAGGGGUUGAAACUUGCAUUGUUUAGGACAAUGGAUGCCGCUGUAUGAAGUUUUGGAUUAAAUAGUUCGUUUCACUUUAAGAGAGCAGUUAUCUGACUCUAAUUGAAUUUCCUGAACCACUAGAAUAGUGUAGUAACAUGUUCAUAUUUCCAUUACUUGCUAGAAGUUUAUGGACAGAAUGGUGUCAGCUUAAUCAUUUUUUGGGUGUUUGCUAUUGAUUUGAAGGAAAUUUGGUUAAAGACGCUUGUUUAAGAAAGUACGUCUUUGUUGUACUCACAAAUUAGCCUGGAACUUAGCAUUCAUAAGUUACACUGAUAAUUAAAAGAGAGAAAUACUCACUGAUGCAUUUGAUGUGUGCAUUUUUCAUGUAAUGCACAAAUUGAUCACAAGUGUUAAAAAUUUAAUGUAAAUGCAUAGAGCCAGCACAUUCAAGUAGUCUUGCAGUGCUAAAUUAGAUAAAAAAUAUCCGUAUUGAUUUUCUGAAAUUUUACUUUUUGAAGCACGUGCUUCUAAACUAUUCUUCCCCAUUAAUUUGUGCAGAGAGUGGAUCUUUCCAGCUGCCCACAGUUCACACCAUCACUUGUUCUCCUGUCGAUGCUUCCUUUUUCAUGCUAUGCAGGUCACAUGCUAGAAAAGAGCAUUAAGGAAUCUUUAAUUAACCGUGUGCGUCUAAAAGAGGACGCCUUUCACGUAUCACAAGCAUUGGGGCUAAUGUUGACUUUUAUUGAAGUAGAAGAGGUGGAUAUUUCAAAUUGUCCAAUGCUACAUCUUGAGGCUGCCAUUGAGUGCUUCUGCAAGUUCCCAUCAUUAAGAAAAUUAAAGGCAGCUUACUCUUUAGACUUCAAAACAAAGAUGAUGUGUCAAUUGGUACAAAAGUGCCCACUACUCUCUGACAUUGACCUAACUGUGGAUGUUACUCCUGUUAUACCUGGACGCGUGUCAAUUGUAUCUUCCUGGCCGGCCUUGCCACAAAGAUCUACAACAUAUUUCAACCUUGAUAAUUGUUAUUCUGCUGCCUCUUUUUCAUAUAUGUCGAGGCCAUUCCUCUCAAAUAUCACGAAACUCACGUUGGAAGGCCGAACCGACAUCAGAGGUAACUCUUUUUUUGAGGGGGGGGGGGGGGGGACAGGGAGAGAGAGAGAGAGAGAGAGAGAGAGAGUGUGUGUUCCCUCCACACUGCAGUCCCACCCCAAAGAACAAUGAACCAUGAUGCAUAUUUGUAUGUAUACAUAUAGGUGUAUCCUAGUCUCCUUUGCAUCCGAUGUCAUUAUUUUCACCUUUUUGGAAAUUCUUUUGGUUGCUUAAAAAUUAAGACAUUCAAUUUCAAUACAUAAAAGAAUUGGAUCUUAAGAGAUUCUCAUGCAAAGGGUGCCAGCUAGGAUUAUUUUGCUUUGAUCAAGAGUGUGUGUACCUACUACCCACCAUUCAUUGAACAUUAACUAGGUAGAUGGUCGUAGAUGUGGCUUGCUGCAUAUUUUUAGGUUGGAAAUCAUCUGUUACCGAACUGUUGAUGUAAGGGAAGAAGUCUGUUUGCUGUUUUCUUUCAUCUAUGCACUUCAAUGUGUAGCAUGUCCUCCACAGGUGUAAAUCAACAAAAUGAAAGAGAAAAAUGCAUAGACAAUAUAACAAGGAUGCGUCUUGUAAGUUCUUUCAGAAUAUCAAACAUAGGAGAUUGCAUUGCUAAAAAGCUCGUUUUCAAAUAGCAAAGAUAACUAAUGCUACUAUGGCAAUUGUAGUUGUGGAAAAAAGAAGCAAGUGGUGUUAUGGAAAUAUGUUAAUAUACGAAAGGUCAUACAGAAUUUUAACAUGGUAAAGAUUGGGCCUUCUUUGAUUAUAUAAGCUAAAACAAUAUUUAAAAAAUGUUUUGAGGCUGCACCUGGAGUCCUGCCUAACAUGAGGCUCUCUUUAAAAGCAUCAAAGCUCAUGCCUUGACUUAGUGAGGCUUACGCCUUAAGAAAAGCACCAUGCAACUUCAUAGUUGAAAACCUUUCAGAUGGCAGGAUCAAAGCCAAUCUUACAAGCAUACCAAUGGACAUAUAAUCCCUUUGCUGCUAACUUCCAAGCUAAUUCCACUAAUUCCUUUCGUUUCGAAAAACUCCUCAUCCAACAAAAGCAAAUUUAGUUCUCAAAUUGAUUAUCAAGUGCUAAGAGAUCCACUAUAGAACAGGCUGACGGAUAAAACUUAACCAAAUAAAACUGUUCGUCGAAAGAGUAAAAUCAAUUGUUUGGACUUGAGUAAGCUACAAAAAUAAGUAACUCCAUAUUCACCAUUGUAAAAUGAUUAUCAAGUUCUUGAAGUUGCAUCUCCACAAUCUGUUGAAUGUUUCUACAGGAUAACGGUUUAAAUUUUUGGUUUGUGCUAUAUAUCGUGCCUUAGGCUUUAAAGAUAUGAUCCAUGUUGGGAAUAGGAUGCUCUAUUUCUUCUUAUUAUCUGCAAUCUUUAUUGGCAUAUUUUAAGUAAUAGCAUUUAUGUAUCUUGAUCUUUUGCUAGCAAGAGCUUUUACAACUCAUUAUUACGCCUUAUUUUUAUCAGUAUAUGGGGGCUUCUAUGCGUUUCUUUUAAUUGGCCGGCCUUGUAAAAUUGAACUAUUUUUUGUUGGUUCAACAGAUUCUGAUCUCCAUGACAUCUCAGAGUUCUGUGCUUCCUUGUGCUACCUUAACCUUAACGGGUGUACUUCAUUGACGGACAAUGGUUUAUCAGUAAUAAUUCUGAAAUGUAAAAAACUACACUCAGUUUUGGUGUGUGAUACUUCUUUUGGGAAUAAUUCAAUUCUGGCACUUUGCUAUGGGAUUUCUGUUGCGGAAUCCAAAAGAGGAAACUACUCUCACACGACGGCUUCGAAGUGUCAAACCCUGCAUAUUGGUGGCUGCAAUGGUGAGCAACAUUUCCUUUGUCCACUCUCACCCUCUUUUAUUUUCAGUAUUCCAGGAAAGUAAAGAGAAAUUCAAUUUUCAAAAGUUUUUUAUGUCAGUAUGUGUCAGAAGUUUUUCUGAUGGAAAUGUGUUUUUUUUAUAAAGUCUUUCAUAAUAUCAGAGUGAGCAUGAUUUUAUAUUUGGUUCACUUGAGUAUUUUUGAGACUUUUUCCUCAUUUGAGUAUAAUCUCAAUUGAUGUGUCUGCCAGUAUCUUUGAUGGUAUACACAAUCAAAUAUGUAUAGCUAACAGCUGGAAUACAUUAUAGUACACACGCAUCAAAUAUGUUUAACUUAAUCUUGUGAAUGUCAUAUAUACAAUUUAUUCUCAACACUAUCCACUUCUUCCCUUCUUUGGCAGGGAUAAAUGAAACAGCUUUGUCAGAGCUUCUCUCUGGAGCAAAUAAUUUGACGAGUCUGUGUUUGCGGGAGAUUCAACUUGAUGACAAUGCUCUUUAUUGUUUUUCAGGAUCCUCCUUGGAGAUGCUUGAUAUUUCUGAUACAAAGGUGCAGAGGCAGUCUAAAGGGAAAUUUUGUUUGUUUCUAGAAAGGAUUCCUCUAAAACCAUUCACUUUUUAUCAUGGAAUUCAUAUAAAUCACUUUACCUAAGAUCUCUUAUGAAUGCGGCAACUGGAAACUUGAACUGAACAUUGCAUAUAGAGUUUGAACUUCUGUUUUCACAACCUGCUUUCACCCGUCAAACCUAAGUCUGAAUAUCUGAAAAUCUUUAAAGCUUUUUGGGCUAGGCUAACUGAAAAACUGGGCUGCUAGAUCUUGUUUUUUGGAAGUUGACAGUUAACCUUUCAAAAGAUAUGUAUAUUUGUCAGAUACAUAAUUUUUCUGCAUGAGUUGCAAGAACUUCACGGUGGUUCAUUAGUUUCAUAUCAAUACCCAUCUGGAAUUGCAUGCAUCUGUCAAUUUCUUGAUGCCAUCUCUUUUAAGAGAGUACCCGUGUGUAAAUUGAGUCCUGAACUCGAGACUCGAAGCUUCGUGGGUUAGACUAUUUUUAUUUCCCACUUGCACGGUCUUGCAAGGAUAAGUUACGAAGGUUGUGCACUUGGCUUAAUCCCCAUGUUCAGGAAUUAGUUAUUAGCAAUGCAUGACAGACCUCUAUUAUACUUCGAUUGGGAUGUGAUAGCACGACGGAUGCAUAUGCUUGGUGGUGUCUUGCUCUAUUUCUUCAUCAAGUUUAAAAGAAAGAAUAUUUGUCUUUACUGUUUACUUUUGUCUUGUUAGAACCAAUCUUGAGUUGUACUGAAUAAAUAAAAUGUAUCAAGCUAACCCAUAAAUAAUGUGCUUGUGAUAUUUCAGGUUUCUGCUGCUGCUUUGGCUCAUGUGAUUUAUAGAAAUCCCGAUCUAAAAUGUUUGAAAGCAAGAGGCUGUAGGCAUUUGCUAGUAAAGGAAAGUAAGACGGAAGAGAGAAACUUGCCUGCUUUAUUGCGUACUCCAAAAGAGUGGUACUCUGAGCUUGGCAAGUCCUGCAAAUUGGACGAGAUUCAACUUGGAUGGGGUUUUUCAUCUCUUUAUAUGGAAGCACUUAAACCGGCAUUUAGAACAUUAAGAACGGUAGUUGUUGGUUUAGGUGGAUCCUUGGGCCAAGAUGGGCUGAAGCAGUUAUCAGAUAUCUGUCCUUUGAUUGAGACCAUGGUUCUAUAUUUUCAGGUAAUGAUUGUUUAGGAGAUAUAAUUAAUGUCAUCCGUAGCAAAUUAUCCGAUCAUCAUAAUUGAUGAGUGUUGAUUGCAAGCUUUGCAUAAAAUGUUCAAGAUUUAGGUUGUAUAUUUUCUCUUGACCAGCAAGAGUGAGACAACAGUGGAACUAAAACGGUAUAAGAAUAGAAAUAUUAUACUCAUAGGAACUAGGUCUUGGCAUUUUCUAGUUUGCUCAUUGGUACUCUCUCUCUCUCUCUCAUAAUUCUUUUAUCUCCCAGCAGCAAAAGGCAACUAUCAUUGAACAUCACUUAUCAGUUAAAACCUCUCACGUGAACCAUAUGUUUCUGAUGAAGUUGGAAGCUUUGGUGAUCUCCUGAUCACUAGAGUACAAUUUAUGGAGCUUUUUCGGUGAUCGUUUUUAGUUAUAUGAUAUACUAACUGAUGCUUGAAGCCAUGCACUAAUACAUUGUCUGAUGUUAACAGGUGAUAACUGAUUCUACUAUAAUGCAUGUUAUGAAAACCUUGUUGCAGUUGCAAGUCUUGGCUCUAUCCUAUUGCAUUGGUGAGAUUUCAUCAUUAAGCUUUAAGUUCUUGAUGCCGAAUCUGAAGAACCUGAAACUUGAAAGAGUAACACCAUGGAUGUCAAAUGAAGAUUUGGUUAAUCUGACACAGAAUUGCCCCAAGUUAGUCAAGCUUUCAUUGACAGGGUGCACAAUGCUUAAUUCAGGCGAGUAAUUUCUACCUGAUAACCAGUCUGUAGAAAUUUCAAUGACACUAAAUGCAAUUUUCAUGCAGUGUGACUCUAAUAAGAAUUCUUAUGCUCUGAGUUUCAUAAGCUGCUGUAUAAUCGAGAAUUAAUACUCGUAUAUCAUUUUUUAUUAUAUACAUGCAUCCUUUUGUCUGGGGAUGACUGAGUGAAGUGAUUUGAAUACUGGCUAAAAUAAUAAUAAAAACUUUUCCUUUCCCUUGUUAUGUUCUUUUCAGAAUCCCAAGAUAUUAUUUCAAGUGGUUGGCCAGGGUUGAUAUCCAUUCAUCUUGAGGUUUGCUGUCACCAUUUUCUCUUGGGAUGCCUUUUUAUUAUUUUUUUAAAAAGAUAUGUAGAUCUUACAUUUGCUACCAACUUUGCAAGAGGAGGAUAAAGACUGAAAUACUAUUAUCUGAUAGUAAAUUUGCUAUUACUUUUUUUGUUUUUGCAUACACCUAAGCAGAUGACCUAAACAAUAUUAACAGUUUUGUGUAACCCAAUUCCUGACUAAGGGCAGAUUUUCGACCCCUUUUUUUUUUUCCCUUAUUUUUGCAACCUCUUGCUACAUCUCUAAAAUUUUCUUCUAUACCUGUGAUUCACCCAAUUUUAUUGAGUGUAGAGGAUGGACAAAGUAGCAAUUAAAAAUUAAAACUUGUCUAAACUUGAGGGGCAUGUUGAAGACAACAUUAAAUGAUAUAAAUUGUGUCCUUAUCUAAUAGCUUAAGCAUUUAGAUCAAGCCGUUUAACAUGGUGUCACAUCAAGCAAAGGUCAGUCAAGUCUCGGCUCUGUCCAUUUAAAUGAAUUGUCCACAUGUUAAGUUUUGAUGGACGUGUUGUCGAUGGUAUUUGAAUGAUAUAAAUAUGCCCUAUCUAACAAUUUAAGCUAUUAGAUCAAGUGGUUCAACAAUAAUGAUUGCUGCUGUUAUUUUCCAAUUAGAUUCACCACCUUUCAUAAAGAGAAGUUUUCUAACCUCUUUCAAAAUUCCAAAAUGUGAAAGAAGAACUGUUUUAUAAGUUCAAAAUCAACAAAGAAUUUAAAGUUUUCUGAACAUGCAUGUGAGGGUCUUCAAUUACAAGAGAAGUUCACAGGGAGAGGUGGUCCAUAAUUUGAUCAAGAACGAACCAUUUUUGAUAUGUGCCAGUCCUCUUGCUAGUGAGCACUCAUGUACCAUUAAAGAUUAAGAAGCAAAAUGGAUCAAAGGAAAGAGGAGGUAACAAAGUUAAAAUCAUGAAGUUGGUAAGAAGCAAAAGGGAAGAAAUUACUGCCUGAAGUUGGCCUUGGGCCUUCUUUGAAUCUGAAUUAUAUAAUUCUUUUUUCAUUUAGGGAAUAGAAUCCUUCCUUGAAAGUCAUUUUGAGUUCCCCCAAAGGAUUUCUCCAGUUGUCAAUUACUAUAACUUGCACAAACAGCAAACAGGCAUUCUCUUUGUUGGCCACUAUAUACAUCUACAGGGUACUUUAUCCCCUGAAGUUGGCAUUUGGUAUGCAAGAGCAUAUGCACAGUAUAGGAAUGGACUUGUGAAAUGAAUGAAGAUGGGAAUGAAAUGCAAUAGACAUGGGAUAUCUCAUGUUUGGUUUGUCUAGGAAUAAGAACAGCAAUGGGAUCAGGUUCCACAUUUUUGAUUUCUUAUAUUUGGUCUGUUAUGAAGCAUGGUAAUGAAAUACAGAUUGUGAAAUGGCUAUGCAUACCUUACUGAAAUUUUAUAUUUUAAGCAUUAAUUCAUGUAAUUGGGAAAAUAAUGUCACAUGUCAGAAUUUGAAAACACGUUGCAUUCCAGAUUAUCUAGAUGCUUACGCUGGAUGGAAUGCCAUGAGCCUACUCGAUAUCUUCCUUGCCUGCUUCACUAGAGGGGGAAAAAAUAGGGAGAGGAAGAUAAAUAUUUUUGAAUCUUUCUUCUGUCAAUGGUUGAACCUUCUUGCCCAUGCUUCUACAAGAAGAAGAAGAGAAGCCUAAUCAGACACUAAACUACAGUUACCUUACUGAAGACUCAAAAGAAAAAAUUGAAGAUUAGAUUUUUGAGACAUCUGAAGAUCAAAUUUGCAGAUUCAAUGCUUAAUUCCAUGGUUCUUGAGUUCAUGCUCUCUCAUAUUUUAAUAAUAUCUUCUUGGUGGUUAUUUUACAUGUUCUUUCUAUUGAGAAUGUUUAUACGAGUGUAGUUCAUCUUCUAAGUUGCUUUCUCACUAUCAUAAAUUCAAUGUCUUUUAUGGAAUUUACACCAACAUUAAGGAGGAGGAGCCAAAUCGAUAGAAAUUAAAACCUGAAAUUGGGAAGAGAUGCAAAAGUUUGGCGGUGUUGAAAUUUGUUAAAAAACGGGGGUUCCAUUUUUGUGAAAGAGACCAUAAUUAUAAACCCCACCAAAAUGAGAGCAGUAUCUACGAUAUAGGAUGAAGUGAAUAUAAAUAUUAUUUCAUUCAUUUGAUUGAUGUAUUUCAUCAUCAGUUCUUAUCCUUUUCGGUAUCUUUGUAACAGCGCAUGUUAUUUGUUGUUUAGGACUGUGGAGAAGUAACAACCAAUGACGUUGUAUCUCUUCUGGACUGUCAUGCCCUUGAAGAUCUUAUGCUACGUCACACUGUGAGUCUUCAACACUGGUUUUUUCUCAUGUGGUGUGGCUUGUUUUAACUUUUGGAGGCUAGAUAAUUAACUUAAUUCUAAUUAGGGGUGGUUGCAAUCUGAUCCUAUUAUCCUUCAUUAUAGUUACCAACUGGUUCUCUGCAAAAGAUGAUGAAUUUGAACUUUCCCGUUUUUGCCUCCUUCGGUUUCUUUUUCUUUUUCCUUCAAACAAAAUGAAUAAUUGGACAGCAAAUGUACGACCCGAAGAAAUUACAAGACAAAAUACUUCAUGUUUCCUGUUUCCUGUCCUCCUAGUAUUAUGUGGCAUAUAUUAGGGAUGAACUUUUUGGUUGGUAUAACCUGAGAUCUCAAUCUAGGUAGCAUUCCUUUGACAAGGUACAUAAUGUUUGGAUUUAUAUAUUAGGCAAUCUUUAGUAUCGCAUAAUAGAUGAUAUAUAAGCACAAGAUUGUGAUGAAGACUACCAAUUGCUUGGACUUCGAUUCAGAGUAUGACAGAGAUAAUACAAAAUAUCCCUUUCUUUUCCUCUUCAACCCCUUAACUCCAACCCUAUCACACCCACAACACAGACAUCAAACUGCAAGGUAUAUACAUUAUACUAGUCCUAAUAAUAUAUCGGCACCUAAAAACACUGAACUGUUUUCAAUUUUGUGAAGUUCCAUUCAAUUAUUAUGAUCUCACUAGACAUUUCAUCAAACACUAAUUUCGAAUUCUUGGUCUACCUACAAAAUUCGAAGCUUUAUUUUUGUGAACUAGCAACUUGCUGAUUCUGGAGUGAAUUGUGCUUUAAAUAUUUAGGGCCCUGGAAUUACGAGAAAUUUCAUCAUUUAUGCUGCUUACAAGGUAAUUAUGGCUGCUCACAUGGAAUUACCGUAUUUGGACAUUGUUUUUUCUCAAAUUGUUUGAAGUUCCCCGUUUUAUUGUGUAUUUUUGGUGCCUGCAGUUACCAAUGCUUCGAAAAAUAUCACUUGAUAGAUGUGAUGCAAGGGAUGGAGACUUUGACAUUCCAAAUGUAAGAAAUCUUCUUGGCAUAUUAUAAUUUCACCCAUUACCAUUAUGUAGAUGCAAAGUGUUUGACAAACCUGUGAAACUUCACGUGAAAGGCGUUAUCAUUUCAUGGUGCAGUCAUUAUGUAUUUCAUUAUUUCCUUAAUAUAAUCCGGGGGUUUUUGAAGCUUAUAUUCUUGUAUCUUGUGGUUUGGGUAGAAUUGGAUUAGGAUAAAAAGUGAUUAGUUCUACGGUUAAUUAGGCUUUUUAGUAUUGCUAGUCUACAGAAGAAAUAUUAAUCCAUGUUGGACAACUAGAAUUGUUUUCAUUAAGCAACAAAAAUAACAUCACUAAUUGCAUUAACGUGUAAACUUCUUGUUUAUCCAGGUAUUUAUAGUGAAUGUUAUCUUACUGAUAUUACGGACCUGCUCCAGUGUGAUGACAGGUACUUCUUAAGUAGUGUGAAGAUUGCUAGAUGUAAGCUUCGACCCUGCACCUUUGACCUUCAUAAUCCGGAGGGCCGGAGAACCCCCGUGCAUAAAGAAACUUUAAUAUUGGAGUGGAACAGUGAAAAGCUCACAAGAAUUGUGGUGAAGGAAAGACUUUAAUUUCCACGCUUGAAAUCAGAUAUAACAUCUAUGGAAACACUGUGAAGCAUAUGGAAUGCACAAUGUGUUACUGUACAUUAUUUCGACUCCUGCACUCUAAAAGCAUGUUGGAUAUCACUUGGUCUGUAAUAGAUAAUGUUAAUUUAGGUCUUAUAGUAACAUGAAACUAUGUCAUGUUCAGUAAAUUUGAAAAAAAGAGUUAAAAAUUGUUUGUUUUUGAAUAACAUUAUGAUUUUUUUUACAAGGUGCUUUUACUUUGG
This 11553-nucleotide long non-coding RNA is filed under the name Olea europaea subsp. europaea. Lineage: Eukaryota; Viridiplantae; Streptophyta; Magnoliopsida; Lamiales; Oleaceae. The record is from RNAcentral.